Molecule: ribosomal RNA, 230 nt
Filed under: uncultured bacterium
Lineage: Bacteria
Description: partial 16S ribosomal RNA
Rfam family: Bacterial small subunit ribosomal RNA
Source: RNAcentral
AAAGCGUGCGCAGGCGGUUAUGCAAGACAGAUGUGAAAUCCCCGGGCUCAACCUGGGAACUGCAUUUGUGACUGCAUGGCUAGAGUACGGUAGAGGGGGAUGGAAUUCCGCGUGUAGCAGUGAAAUGCGUAGAUAUGCGGAGGAACACCGAUGGCGAAGGCAAUCCCCUGGACCUGUACUGACGCUCAUGCACGAAAGCGUGGGGAGCAAACAGGAUUAGAUACCCCUGU